This 253-nucleotide ribosomal RNA is filed under the name uncultured bacterium. RNAcentral describes it as "partial 16S ribosomal RNA". It matches the Rfam family "Bacterial small subunit ribosomal RNA", at positions 524 to 776 of the family's 1533-position model. The record is from RNAcentral.
GACGAACCGUGCGAACGUUGUUCGGAAUCACUGGGCUUAAAGGGCGCGUAGGCGGGCUGCCAAGUCUGGGGUGAAAUCCCACGGCUCAACCGUGGAACUGCCUCGGAUACUGGCGGCCUCGAGGGAGGUAGGGGCGUGCGGAACUGUGGGUGGAGCGGUGAAAUGCGUUGAUAUCCACAGGAACUCCGGUGGCGAAGGCGGCACGCUGGACCUUUUCUGACGCUGAGGCGCGAAAGCCAGGGGAGCAAACAGG